Molecule: transfer RNA, 72 nt
Filed under: Camelus bactrianus (Bactrian camel)
Lineage: Eukaryota; Metazoa; Chordata; Mammalia; Artiodactyla; Camelidae
Also listed under: 2 other names
Rfam family: tRNA
About the family: Transfer RNA (tRNA) molecules are approximately 80 nucleotides in length.
Source: Rfam by way of RNAcentral
GUGGCUAUAGCUCAGUGGUACAGUGCAUGCCUACCAUGCAUGAGGCCCUGGGUUCAUUCCCCACUACUUCCA